AGUGGCAGACGGGUGAGUAAUGUAUAGGAAUCUACCUAGUAGUACGGGAUAAUUGUUGGAAACGGCAACUAAUACCGUAUACGCCCUACGGGGGAAAGAUUUAUCGCUAUUAGAUGAGCCUAUAUUAGAUUAGCUAGUUGGUAAGGUAAUGGCUUACCAAGACAAUGAUCUAUAGCUGAUCUGAGAGGAUGAUCAGCCACACUGGAACUGAGAUACGGUCCAGACUCCUACGGGAGGCAGCAGUGGGGAAUAUUGGACAAUGGGCGAAAGCCUGAUCCAGCUAUGCCGCAUGAGUGAAGAAGGCCUUCGGGUUGUAAAGCUCUUUUAGUGAGGAAGAUAAUGACGGUACUCACAGAAGAAGUCCUGGCUAACCCCGUGCCAGCAGCCGCGGUAAUACGGAGAGGGCUAGCGUUAUUCGGAAUUAUUGGGCGUAAAGGGCGCGUAGGCGGAUUAGUAAGUUAAAAGUGAAAUCCCAAGGCUCAACCUUGGAAUUGCUUUUAAAACUGCUAAUCUAGAGAUUGAAAGAGGAUAGAGGAAUUCCUAGUGUAGAGGUGAAAUUCGUAAAUAUUANGANGAACACCAGUGGCGAA
RNAcentral lists this ribosomal RNA (590 nucleotides) under uncultured Wolbachia sp. RNAcentral describes it as "bacterial SSU rRNA". It matches the Rfam family "Bacterial small subunit ribosomal RNA", at positions 94 to 719 of the family's 1533-position model. Lineage: Bacteria; Pseudomonadati; Pseudomonadota; Alphaproteobacteria; Rickettsiales; Anaplasmataceae. The record is from RNAcentral.